CCUACGGGAGGCAGCAGUGAGGAAUAUUGGUCAAUGGCCGGAAGGCUGAACCAGCCAUGCCGCGUGAAGGUCAGUGCCCUAUGGGCGUUAAACUUCUUUUGUGCGGGAGCAAUAAUGGUCACGUGUGGCCAGACGAGAGUACCGUACGAAUAAGCAUCGGCUAACUCCGUGCCAGCAGCCGCGGUAAUACGGGGGAUGCAAGCGUUAUCCGGAUUUAUUGGGUUUAAAGGGUGCGUAGGCUGGGAGGUAAGUCAGCGGUGAAAUGCCCCCGCUCAACGGGGUGAAGUGUCAUUGAUACUGGCUGGCUGGAAUGCGGAUGCGGUGGGAGGAAUGUGUGGUGUAGCGGUGAAAUGCAUAGAUAUCACACAGAACACCGAUUGCGAAGGCAUCUCACGAAUCCGCGAUUGACGCUGAUGCACGAAAGCGUGGGUAUCAAACAGGAUUAGAUACCCGGGUAGUC
RNAcentral lists this ribosomal RNA (460 nucleotides) under uncultured bacterium. RNAcentral's name for it is "partial 16S ribosomal RNA". It matches the Rfam family "Bacterial small subunit ribosomal RNA", at positions 338 to 795 of the family's 1533-position model. The record is from RNAcentral.